CCUACGGGAGGCAGCAGUGGGGAAUAUUGGGCAAUGGGCGCAAGCCUGACCCAGCAACGCCGCGUGAAGGAAGAAGGCUUUCGGGUUGUAAACUUCUUUUCUCAGGGACGAAGCAAGUGACGGUACCUGAGGAAUAAGCCACGGCUAACUACGUGCCAGCAGCCGCGGUAAUACGUAGGUGGCAAGCGUUAUCCGGAUUUACUGGGUGUAAAGGGCGUGUAGGCGGGAAAGCAAGUCAGAUGUGAAAACCAUGGGCUCAACCUGUGGCCUGCAUUUGAAACUGGUUUUCUUGAGUACUGGAGAGGCAGACGGAAUUCCUAGUGUAGCGGUGAAAUGCGGAGAUAUUAGGAGGAACACCAGUGGCGAAGGCGGUCUGCUGGACAGCAACUGACGCUGAGGCGCGAAAGCGUGGGGAGCAAACAGGAUUAGAUACCCUAGUAGUC
RNAcentral lists this ribosomal RNA (443 nucleotides) under uncultured bacterium. RNAcentral describes it as "partial 16S ribosomal RNA". It matches the Rfam family "Bacterial small subunit ribosomal RNA", at positions 338 to 795 of the family's 1533-position model. The record is from RNAcentral.